RNAcentral lists this transfer RNA (91 nucleotides) under Irpex rosettiformis. RNAcentral's name for it is "tRNA-Thr". It matches the Rfam family "tRNA". Rfam says of the family: Transfer RNA (tRNA) molecules are approximately 80 nucleotides in length. Their secondary structure includes four short double-helical elements and three loops (D, anti-codon, and T loops). The record is from RNAcentral. Lineage: Eukaryota; Fungi; Basidiomycota; Agaricomycetes; Polyporales; Irpicaceae.
UCCCGUUUAGCUCAGUUGGUAGAGCGCGUCACUAGUAUUUGCUUAUGUAAUUACAAUGACGAGGUCAGUCGUUCGAGUCGGCUAAUGGGAA